AAUAAGAUCAUUUUCAGUUUUUUAUACAAUAUUUUGACUCUUCGUUUUAUUUAAAUUUUUUGUGAUUAAUAUUUUUAUUCUUACAAAUGAUAAAACAUGAAUAAUACUUUAUGUGUGACUAUUUUUUUAAUAUUUUGUACAAAUUUUUUAGAUAAGACGAAUGAUCAAAAGUUAAACACGGAAAAACGAAAAAUGAAGUUACG
Molecule: microRNA precursor, 203 nt
Filed under: Oryza brachyantha (malo sina)
Lineage: Eukaryota; Viridiplantae; Streptophyta; Magnoliopsida; Poales; Poaceae
Description: MIR812 microRNA precursor family
Rfam family: MIR812 microRNA precursor family
Source: Rfam by way of RNAcentral